CAUUUAGAGGAAGUAAAAGUCGUAACAAGGUUUCCGUAGGUGAACCUGCGGAAGGAUCAUUAUUAUUUGGGUCGGGUUUACUUCUUAACAAGAAAUAGACUUUUACCAAAUAAAAUUUAUUUUUUACUCCUAUUAGGAGCAAGAUGAACUUAUAUUUAAAACCCACCUCUUUAAAUGUAUAUUUUUUAUUUCAAAUGAUAAUUAAAGAUCACUUUCAACAACGGAUCUCUUGGCUCUCGCAUCGAUGAAGAACGUAGCGAAGUGCGAUAAGUAAUGUGAAUUGCAGAAUUCCGUGAAUCAUCGAAUCUUUGAACGCAUAUUGCACUCUCUGGUAUUCCGGAGAGUAUGCCUGUUUGAGGGUCUGUUAAAUAAAAAUCGGGGUUGUUGCUGCUUUUUGUGGUGACGCUUCGGAAUUGGGUAGUCUUACCUUCGGGUUAAGUGACCUAAAAUUUUACAUGAUUUUUCGAACGUAUUUGAAUUUUUACGUACGUUUGUGAUAUCGAUAUUAGGUGUGGUCAUCCUCAUGAUUCACGUCUAUAAUUUUUUCAUUUUUAGACCUCAAAUCAGGUAAGAACACCCGCUGAACUUAAGCAUAUCAAUAAGCGGAGGAAAGGGCGAAU
This 620-nucleotide ribosomal RNA is filed under the name uncultured glomeraceous AM fungus. Its description in RNAcentral is "eukaryotic LSU rRNA". The stretch from base 210 to 363 matches the Rfam family "5.8S ribosomal RNA". Lineage: Eukaryota; Fungi; Glomeromycota; Glomeromycetes; Glomerales; Glomeraceae. The record is from RNAcentral.